GGCCUCUUCCGUUUGCCUCUGGGACUGGCGAUACUCGAGAUGUCUUGAGGCCUUCCAGACCUUGCUCCACCUCCACCACCAGGUCUCCAGUCCUGAGCCACAUGCUGCCAUUUUUGUCUCAGAAGCACCCCUCUUCCAGUGAUGAGCCCACCAUGAAGAAAGGGCACGAAUCUGCUUCCUCUCUCCCUGUCCUGGGAACGGUGCCUGCCCGUGAUGGUAUCCUCAGGCCCCCCUCUCUGCGCCAGCAAGAUGUCCCAGGGGACGUCUGUGCAUUCAGCCAGGUGGAAGAUUGAAGGUCUGAAGAGUGGGAAGUCCCAGGAACAGGCAAUUCCAGGAAGAUAUGAGGAAAAUCAAGAAAGAGAAGGAAACUGAAGCUAGUGGGAAGUGCUUCAAGUUGGAGAUGAUGCUGAGAUGGCCAAAAAGUGAGAGGUGGAAAACAUUUGGAGUGAGUUAAGGAGAGAACGCGAGGCAAGGAAGUGAAGCUGAGUGAGUUGGGGAGUGGGGUGCAGGGGCCUUUGGCCACCCCAGGCUCUUUCUAUGUGAACAUUCUGAGACUGAUUCUGAUUUUUUUCCCCUCCCAAAUUGCUCUCUUUUCCUUUCUUCACCUACUUACUCCCUGGUCAUCCUUCCUUUGGGUCAGUGAAGUUGCUGAUUCUUUAGGGAACACUUCUCUGAUUGCUGAAGCUAAUAGUCUCUCCCUGCGGUUGCCGGUUGUUUCCAAUAGUUGACUAGUUUUCUUCCCCAGCACUUACGAGUACACAGCCAGUCACUCUGGUUGCUCACUGUCUUCCUUCUUCCUUGACUGUCAGCUCACAGGAAUGCAGGGCCCUUACUUGUUUUACUCACCACUGCAUCCCAAGGAUAUAGCAGAGUGCCUGGCACACGGUAGGUGCUGAAUAAAUAUUCGUUAAAUGAUUGAUUGGAGGAAAAAACCACCAUCCUCCAUGGUAAACCUUUACUUUACUUUUGCAUACUUCUAAAAGUAUAAUCUAGAGGUUCAGUGACUCCCGCAAAUAAACAGAAAAGGGCACAGAGGGUGGCGAUAGGGCCACUGAUAACAGGAGCUGGAAGUAGAAGACAUCUUUUUUCCGAAGUUGAAGACUUGUACUUCCAUAACCUUGGCAGAUUAGGAAAUGUCAAUUACCCUCCAAUCCAACCUCCUAUAUAGAGCCACACACUGGUUUCCUAGCCUUUUAUGUAUUGAAAAGAUGUUAUCCUAUAAAUUUUCUUCUUUUCCAAUGUGUUCUAUAAAUAUCCACUAAAAUACUUUAAUUGCAAGAAAGUUAGAUAUUUGAGGUUAUAUCCAUGUUUCAUUUCUGUGGAAAACAACACAGAAAAUGUUACCCAAGUAUAACUGGGCACCAUGGCUCCAAUAUUUUCUCAUUAUCAGCUCAAAUAAACACAACUUAGAAUAAAAAAGUCAUGUAAAGCAA
Molecule: long non-coding RNA, 1433 nt
Filed under: Homo sapiens (human)
Lineage: Eukaryota; Metazoa; Chordata; Mammalia; Primates; Hominidae
Description: novel transcript
Source: RNAcentral